UAUCUCUGUAGAGUCUGCAUAUCAAUAAGCGGAGGAAAAGAAACUAACAAGGAUUCCCCUAGUAACGGCGAGUGAAGCGGGAAGAGCUCAAAUUUGAAAUCUUCAAGGUUUGACCUUGACGAAUUGUAGUUUAAAGAAGUGUUUUCAGUUAGAGGAGUAGUAAAAGUUCUUUGGAAUAGGACAUCAUAGAGGGUGAGAAUCCCGUAUUUGACUAUUCUUUCUAGCUUUGUGAUACACUUUCAAAGAGUCGGAUUGUUUGGGAAUGCAGUCCAAAAUGGGUGGUAAAUUUCAUCUAAAGCUAAAUAUUGGCGAGAGACCGAUAGCGAACAAGUACCGUGAGGGAAAGAUGAAAAGAACUUUGAAAAGAGAGUUAAACAGUACGUGAAAUUGUCAAAAGGGAAGCGUUUGACACCAGUGUUGUUUUUCCGAAAAUCAAUUAAAAAUUGAUUCAUGCCAGGUUGUAUUGACCUUAUCAGCUUGCAAUUUGGUUUUGGGUCUCUUUUUGAUGCACUUUUCGGUUAACAAGUCAACAUCAAUUUCCUUUGCUGUAAAAAGGUAAGAGGAAGGUGGCUCCAAUUUCGGUUGAAGUGUUUAUAGCCUUUUAUCUCUGCAGUCGGGGAGAUUGAGGUCUGCAGCGUAGAUCCUUCGGGGCUAGAUACAUUUAUGCUAAGUUAUAGCUUUUCAUAGACAACUUGUUGACUAUGUUUAGUCAUGUAGCUUACUCGUAAGUGCUAUUUUACCUACGCUUAGGAUGUUGAGCGCAUGUCUCUCUCU
Molecule: ribosomal RNA, 774 nt
Filed under: uncultured Neocallimastigales
Lineage: Eukaryota; Fungi; Neocallimastigomycota; Neocallimastigomycetes; Neocallimastigales
Description: partial large subunit ribosomal RNA
Rfam family: Eukaryotic large subunit ribosomal RNA
Source: RNAcentral